CAGUCGCCACGGGAAUACGUAGGGUGCAAGCGUUAAUCGGAAUUACUGGGCGUAAAGCGUGCGCAGGCGGCUUUUUAAGUCGGAUGUGAAAUCCCUGAGCUUAACUUAGGAAUUGCAUUCGAUACUGGGAAGCUAGAGUAUGGGAGAGGAUGGUAGAAUUCCAGGUGUAGCGGUGAAAUGCGUAGAGAUCUGGAGGAAUACCGAUGGCGAAGGCAGCCAUCUGGCCUAAUACUGACGCUGAGGUACGAAAGCAUGGGGAGCAAACAGGAUUAGAUACCCCUGUAGUCCCUGUCUCUUAUAC
Molecule: ribosomal RNA, 301 nt
Filed under: uncultured bacterium
Lineage: Bacteria
Description: partial 16S ribosomal RNA
Rfam family: Bacterial small subunit ribosomal RNA
Source: RNAcentral